UACAAUUGUGUUCGUGAGUUGACUAACAAAGAAAGUUAUUGAUCCAGGAAUGGUGGUAGGAUUUCCACUCAGUAUAGGUAAAUGUGUCAUGCCGCACAGGCGACUGUAUAACCUUUUUACUUCCUUGUUGCCUUGCAGUAUAUACGUAGAAGACAUUAUUCGUAUAAUGCAUGGUGACGAUCUUUUAAAGAACAACUAAUCAUCUCAGUGGUACUGCUUCCAUGAUGCUCAAAACAGUACCCGGAGUUUUGAUAAUUUUGUCAGUGGCAAAUUUAGCAUACCUGGUUUCCUCCCUUGUGCGUUUGUCUGGUGGAAGUGCUAGUAAUGAAGGUCGUGUAGAAGUGUUUCAUGACACUGAGUGGGGUAGCGUGUGCGACGACGGGUUUGGAAACGACGAGGCAGCUGUCGUUUGCAGAGAAUUGGGCUUCCCCGGAUUCCGACGACAUAUUCAGAGCUCUUAUAGGGUCUUUGGAAGAGGACUGUCAAAAAUUUGGUUGGAUGAAGUGCGAUGCUUGGGGAUUGAGGCUUCUAUUGUAGAUUGCAUUCACGAUGGUUGGGGAAUCCAUAACUGUGAUCCUGCAACAGAGGCAGUUGGAGUAGAGUGUGAACCGCUAAAUGGCACUGUGCGACUCACGGGGGGUGCUAGUGACCACAUGGGCUAUGUUGAAGUGCAAAGAAACGACGCCUGGGGAAGGAUUUGUGAUACAGGAUUCACGAUAACCGAAGCAAAUAUUGUGUGUCGCCAGUUUGGGUUCCCUAAUGCUUCCAGUCUUCGUUCAUUUGCCACACUUCCUAGCACGCCUCCGGUAUUAGAUCACGUCAAGUGUACUGGGAACGAAGCGAACAUUCUGCGUUGUAGACACGAUGGAUGGGGUGUAGCUGCUUGUCAACCCAAUCAGACCGCCGGUAUAGUGUGUAUAGAUCCCACUGGUCCGCCUGAAGGCACCCUGCGCCUGGUGAACGGUGCCAAGAGUAGAGAGGGACGGCUGGAAAUCUACUACAAUCAUCACUGGGGCACGAUUUGUGACAAAGGCUGGGACGCUGUUGAUGCCUUGGUGGCAUGUAGACAGCUGGGAUAUUCUGGACUGGAGGCACACAAUAGGAACUUUGGCGUUGGUGACGAUCUAGUCUUGCUCAGUCAGAUUCAUUGUAAUGGUAACGAGGACAAUCUCUCGCGAUGUCCAAGAACUUCAGACUGGGGUAUUGUGCCAGCAGAAUGCACUCACGACAGAGACGUAGGCAUCGUUUGUGAAGCAUCUGUCCCAGCACUAAGAUUGAACAGCAGCUCUCCUGCCAACAACAGCGGCAUUCUGCAGGUGAACUUGAACAAAACCUGGUGGUCAGUUUGUCUGCAAGCUCUAAAUGGCGAGGCACGAAGUGUCAUUUGCCAUGAGCUAGGGUUUGAUCGCUAUGUGGGAGAGGGUCCCAGCACCAAUGCACCGUCUGGUAUUGAUGAUAUGUACUCUACGUCGGCCAGCUGCACUGGAAAUGAAAGGGCACUCGAGGAAUGCAGAAACCACAGAUGGUCAGUUGUGACAAAAGCAGCUCCUCCACCUCUUCAUAUUUCCCUGUGCUACUCCUCAUCUCCAGUACAAUUUGUAUGUGGCAUGACAGAACCUACCACAGCCAGUUCGGCAACCUCUACAACAACAAUAACAACAACAACAACAACAACACACCAUUCAACAAUAUUAACAAAUACACCAGGCAAAACAUCUACAGCAAGGAAAACUACAGUUAGGACAACAUUAGUGAACACACCAGCAGAUGUUGGAUCAACUCCAAACACGUCUCCAACGACGAAACCUAGCACUAUCCCUCCCUCUGGAAAUACUGAGUCUACUCACUCUGAGGUAACGCUCUACCCAACAACAACAACAACAACAGACGACAAUGGUAUCUUAACUUCUGGUCCUACGGAGGUUCAACCAUGGGACACAAUGCCAAACAAGUCUUUACCAGACUGGGGUAUUGCCAUACUGGUGACAGCUCUAGUUUUGGCUCUUAUUUUUGUUGUUGGGUUCCUUUUGAAGAGACGACCUGCAAGCUGUUUUGGUAAAUUAAGGUCUCAAAGGUCUAAUCCUGGAGAGCUGUAUCAAUUACACAACACUUCCACGGCACAGCUGGUAUUGGACGAGCCUCCACCCUAUACAACUAUUGAUCCGUUUGUAAAUGAAAGUAAGCCCAAAGCAAUGCCACCAGUAUCACACCAGCCGCCAGAUGGCCUCUCCAAUCCCCUGUACAAGAUAGACUCGAGAGAUCCUGAUGUACUGGAGUUCUUAGAAAAAAUAGGGCUUGAGGAAUACUAUGGAAUAUUCACGAGAGAAAGAAUAACAGCAAAUGAUUUGCCAUCUCUUACAGAAGUGGAUCUAAGAACAAUAGGCAUUCCUCUUGGUCCUGCAAAACGCAUUGCCGAGAAAAUCCAGGGAAUGCAUAUCUAUCAGCAGCCGGACGAUGACCACAAUAAUAGCCAUUACCAAUCUAUGAUACCCAAAGGUUAUAGAAACGAAGCUGGUCUGGAGUACCAGGGUCUAAACUUUAGCGAGUAUGAUGAUAUAGACCGCCAACAGGAUGCCCCUCGCCCUCUACCAAGACCACCUCCUGGCGGACGACUAGACUCGGACCCAGAAAACUAUGAAAAAUUCGACGCAGACACUCGGAACUCUGCAAGUUAUAUUCAGUUCGUUUCUGUUGCUGAACAGGACAAAAACAAACCACUUUCUUAUGCUGAUGUAGUUUCCAGUGAAAAAGACUUAUCCGUUGACCACCCAGCCGUAGCAAGUCUCGGAUGUAGGGAUAGCGGUUAUAUGACUCCAGUGACCAACACAAAAUAACUCGUAAUGUGUCUAGAGCAAUACUUUGGACACAGAUGCACAGUGUGUUGGUUGUUUUUUAUGUAUAUUUCAACUAACGAAAAUGUUACAUCACCAGUAGGCAAGCUGUAGGGCUUGCACUGCAGCCUUUAUUUGAUUUGCUUUUUCUUUUAUGAUAAAGCGAAGCAAGAGCAUUAAUCAAAGAAUGUAACAUUUAUUACAACUUUCGUCACCACUGCUUUGGAAACAAUUUGUUGCACUUGGAAUCUGUAGAUACACGUUGUUUUAACAGUAGAUUUCCGAGAAAAAUACCUAUCGACAUUCUCACAAGAUACAUAUGCCUUCAGAUUCUAUGUGUGCGUGCGUGAGGGUUAGGGGAUAGUCGCGGAUCUUGUGUGUGCUCUAUCAGGAUCCAUCAAAAGUGCCAAGUUUUAACCCACCACAAUUCUAUAUAAGGGGCCAUUCCCACAGAUAUUUGGAUCGAUCUAUCUCCCUGGGGAGUCUUACUAAAUUGCUAUCAAACUAUUAGGCUUAAACGUAUGUCACGCCUAGUAGAACUGUUAGGGGGUAAUUAUCUUUACCCCUAGCUGAUUCGGUAGGCGUGACAGACAUCUUAACCUCUUGAGCUGAUAGCAAUUUAGCGUGAACCCCCAGGGAGUAAGGUCGAUCCAGAUGGAUCGAUGUAAGUAUGGGAACCUAGUCUUAGACGCUCUCCGGAGCAAACUUGUCUAGGGUAAUGAGCGUGACGAUCUUACAAACAACCAAAAAGAAAGAUUCAAACUUUGUAAGUCAGUUCAUAUACGUGUAAUACGAAAUUAAUUGUCAUUGAACAAGGUCAUAUUCGUUUAUUCGCUAUUCGUCUUCGCAUUGGUCAUUAUCACAUUUCUGCAGACCGAAAAACAACGGUGAAAAUUGCUUAGUUUUGGCUUUGAUCAUUAUCACAUUUCAAUCCGGUCUCCAAAACAGUAGUGGAAACUACCGGAGUUUCUGUUUGGUGAUUAACACAUUUCUACAAAUUGAAAAACGAGACUGAAAAUAACUAUCUUUAUCUUUGGUAAUUAUCAUAUUUCUCAUAAAAAGGCGUUGUUCAAAGUCUAGAUUAUACGAUAUCAUUGCAUUUAUGGACCCACAGAACACACAACAAGGCACCAACCAGUUUCGUCAUUGUAUAUUGCGAUUUCAAACAUUUCAUAAUUUGAAAGAUGAAUGAUUACAUGCCCUCCACUAAUUCAUCGAGAGGAAUACCCUCAUAGAUUUCAUUGGUUUUGUUAUAUUCGUUUGAUGUCGGGAAAUAAUCAGAAACAAAACUGUUCGCUUUCCUGCCGCGUAAGGCCCCUAUUUCACACAGACCACGAAUCCCACGAAUCGCCAGGAAUUGACAAUUUCAGG
RNAcentral lists this unclassified non-coding RNA (4202 nucleotides) under Lingula anatina. Its description in RNAcentral is "deleted in malignant brain tumors 1 protein, transcript variant X2". Lineage: Eukaryota; Metazoa; Brachiopoda; Lingulata; Lingulida; Lingulidae. The record is from RNAcentral.